RNAcentral lists this ribosomal RNA (330 nucleotides) under uncultured eukaryote. Its description in RNAcentral is "partial 18S ribosomal RNA". It matches the Rfam family "Eukaryotic small subunit ribosomal RNA", at positions 1470 to 1796 of the family's 1831-position model. The record is from RNAcentral.
CCCUUAGAUGUUCUGGGCCGUACGCGCGCUACACUGAUGCAUUCAACGAGUCUAAAACCUGGUCUGAUAGGGCUGGGUAAUCUUUUGAAUGUGCAUCGUGAUUGGGAUAGAUGAUUGCAAUUCUUCAUCUUCAACGAGGAAUGCCUAGUAAACGCAAGUCAUCAGCUUGCAUUGAUUACGUCCCUGCCCUUUGUACACACCGCCCGUCGCUCCUACCGAUUGAAUGUUCCGAUGAAUACCAUGGACUGAGAGUAUGAAUGGGUUCGCCUAUUUCUGCUUCUCGGGAAGUGGAGUAAAUCUUAACAUUUAGAGGAAGGAGAAGUCGUAACA